GGACUACUGGGGUAUCUAAUCCUGUUUGAUCCCCACGCUUUCGAGCCUCAGCGUCAGUUACAGUUUCGUCAGCUGCCUUCGCAAUCGGUGUUCUGUGUCAUAUCUAUGCAUUUCACCGCUACAUGACACAUUCCGCCAACGGCAUCUGUACUCAAGUCCUACAGUAUCAAUGGCACGUCUAUCGUUAAGCGAUAGGAUUUCACCACUGACUUAUAAGACCGCCUACGCUCCCUUUAAACCCAAUAAAUCCGGAUAACGCUCGCAUCCUUCGUAUUACCGCGGCUGCUGGCAC
RNAcentral lists this ribosomal RNA (292 nucleotides) under uncultured bacterium. RNAcentral's name for it is "partial 16S ribosomal RNA". The record is from RNAcentral. RNAcentral also lists the same sequence under 1 other name.